Molecule: unclassified non-coding RNA, 152 nt
Filed under: Basidiomycota sp.
Lineage: Eukaryota; Fungi; Basidiomycota
Description: partial contains small subunit ribosomal RNA and internal transcribed spacer 1
Rfam family: Eukaryotic small subunit ribosomal RNA (bases 1-47)
Source: RNAcentral
AAAGUCGUAACAAGGUUUCCGUAGGUGAACCUGCGGAAGGAUCAUUGGGGAGAUGUGGGGGGAAGAGAGAGUUGGAAUGGGGGAGAGUAACAACAAAUAUUAAUACAAUACAAACACAAACACAACUGCUGACAAUGGAUCUCUGGGCUCUU